This 501-nucleotide ribosomal RNA is filed under the name uncultured bacterium. RNAcentral's name for it is "partial 16S ribosomal RNA". It matches the Rfam family "Bacterial small subunit ribosomal RNA", at positions 30 to 523 of the family's 1533-position model. The record is from RNAcentral.
AUUGAACGCUGGCGGCAGGCUUAACCCAUGCAAGUCGAGCGGAGAUGAGGUGCUUGCACCUUAUCUUAUCGGCGGACGGGUGAGUAAUGCUUAGGAAUCUGCCUAUUAGUGGGGGACAACAUUCCGAAAGGAAUGCUAAUACCAUAUCCGUCAUACGGGAAAAAGCAGGGGAUCUUCGGACCUUGUGCGACUAGAUGAGCCUAAGUCGGAUUAGUGAGUGGGUGGGGUAAAGGCCUACCAAGGGGACGAUUUGUACCGGGUUUGCAAGGAUGCUCCGCCACACUGGGACUGGAAGACGGCCAAGAAUCCUACGGGAGGGAGCAGUUGGGAAUAUUGGACAAAGGGGGAAACCCUGAUCCAGCCAUGCCGGGUGUGUGAAGAAGGCCUUAUGGUUGUAAAGCACUUUAAGCGAGGAGGAGGCUACUGAGACUAAUACUCUUGGAUAGUGGACGUUACUCGCAGAAUAAGCACCGGCUAACUCUGUGCCAGCCGCCGCGGUAA